GGUGCUGUGGCUCAAGUGGUAGAGUGCUUGCCUUGCAUGCAUGAGGCCCUGGGUUUGAUUCCUCAGCACCA
RNAcentral lists this transfer RNA (71 nucleotides) under Dipodomys ordii (Ord's kangaroo rat). It matches the Rfam family "tRNA". From Rfam's summary of the family: Transfer RNA (tRNA) molecules are approximately 80 nucleotides in length. Their secondary structure includes four short double-helical elements and three loops (D, anti-codon, and T loops). Further hydrogen bonds mediate the characteristic L-shaped molecular structure. tRNAs have two regions of fundamental functional importance: the anti-codon, which is responsible for specific mRNA codon recognition, and the 3' end, to which the tRNAs corresponding amino acid is attached (by aminoacyl-tRNA synthetases). tRNAs cope with the degeneracy of the genetic code in two manners: having more than one tRNA (with a specific anti-codon) for a particular amino acid; and 'wobble' base-pairing, i.e. permitting non-standard base-pairing at the 3rd anti-codon position. Lineage: Eukaryota; Metazoa; Chordata; Mammalia; Rodentia; Heteromyidae. The record is from Rfam by way of RNAcentral.